This 253-nucleotide ribosomal RNA is filed under the name uncultured bacterium. RNAcentral describes it as "partial 16S ribosomal RNA". It matches the Rfam family "Bacterial small subunit ribosomal RNA", at positions 524 to 776 of the family's 1533-position model. The record is from RNAcentral.
UACAGAGGGUGCAAGCGUUAAUCGGAAUUAUUGGGCGUAAAGCGCGCGCAGGCGGUCCUUUAAGUCUGAUGUGAAAGCCCACGGCUCAACCGUGGAGGGUCAUUGGAAACUGGGGGACUUGAGUGCAGAAGAGGAAAGCGGAAUUCCACGUGUAGCGGUGAAAUGCGUAGAGAUGUGGAGGAACACCAGUGGCGAAGGCGGCUUUCUGGUCUGUAACUGACGCUGAGACACGAAAGCGUGGGUAGCAAACAGG